GAUGAAGAACGUAGCGAAAUGCGAUAAUUAAUGUGAAUUGCAGAAUUCCGUGAAUCAUCGAGUCUUUGAACGCACAUUGCGCCUCAUGGCAUUCCGUGAGGCAUGCCCAUCUCAGCGUUAGAAAAUAUUCUCAAAUUUUAGUUUUGUGCUAAAAUUUGGAUCAUGUCAAAGAAGCUAUUACUAUUAUUGUAUCGCUCUUUGGAAAUUGAUAGGUCUUUGAGUUGCUACUCAUAGAACGUGAUGAAUCUUUCUUCAUUCUAUUGUAAUUCACUCUGGUAGUCCUAAAACUUGUAUGCCUGUAGCAUAUCUUGUAAUUUGACCUGAGAUUGGGUAGGGAUACCCGCUGAACUUAAGCAUAUCAAUAAGCGGAGGA
This 373-nucleotide unclassified non-coding RNA is filed under the name soil metagenome. RNAcentral describes it as "partial contains internal transcribed spacer 2 and large subunit ribosomal RNA". The stretch from base 1 to 120 matches the Rfam family "5.8S ribosomal RNA", at positions 35 to 154 of the family's 154-position model. The record is from RNAcentral.